CUUUUGCUCCAUUCUUUCCUUCUUAUUUUUCUAAGUCUUCUCAACUCUUAACUUCUAGCCAUCUUCAAUGCAAAUUUCAGCAGUCUUUGUACUGAGAAUCAAUGUAGGCAGAAGCAUGUGGAUGAAGAAACCAGACUAGAAAGUGCAAGGCAUGUGCCCGGUAUCAUACACAGUUGGCACAUAAUCAACAUGGAUACCAAGAGAUGCACAGAAGCUAGUUUUGGGGGCAGGCUGAGUCUUCAUCCAGCUUCCACUAUAAGUGUGCUAGGCUCUCUGUGAAGAUUUCCCUGUUGACGUGCAGAUGUGAUGAGGAAAUGACAAGAACACAUAAGACAUCCCUUUGAGCACUGUGUUGAGAGUUAUUGGUUCUAUAUUUCCUGCCAUAGUUAAGGCCCAGAGCUAAGAAUCCAGUGACCCCUAGGCCUUAUUGGGUCCAACUCUGUUUCAUUCUGUAACAUCCCAUCCUGUCUAGUCCUGAAGCUCUGGGACAACAAGCUCAAGGAGAGUUCAUUGUGGAGACUGCUGACCAAAGAGGGAGAAUCAACGUUUCAAUUAAAAAAAAAAUUUUUUUUCACUUUACAAUACUGUAUUGGUUUUGCCAUACAUCAACAUGAAUCUGCCACGGGUGUACAU
RNAcentral lists this long non-coding RNA (633 nucleotides) under Capra hircus (goat). RNAcentral's name for it is "lncRNA (ENSCHIG00000004654.1)". The record is from RNAcentral. Lineage: Eukaryota; Metazoa; Chordata; Mammalia; Artiodactyla; Bovidae.